This 1171-nucleotide ribosomal RNA is filed under the name uncultured Bacteroides sp. RNAcentral's name for it is "bacterial SSU rRNA". It matches the Rfam family "Bacterial small subunit ribosomal RNA", at positions 10 to 1176 of the family's 1533-position model. The record is from RNAcentral. Lineage: Bacteria; Pseudomonadati; Bacteroidota; Bacteroidia; Bacteroidales; Bacteroidaceae.
AGUUUGAUCCUGGCUCAGGAUGAACGCUAGCUACAGGCUUAACACAUGCAAGUCGAGGGGCAGCAUGGUCUUAGCUUGCUAAGGCCGAUGGCGACCGGCGCACGGGUGAGUAACACGUAUCCAACCUGCCGUCUACUCUUGGACAGCCUUCUGAAAGGAAGAUUAAUACAAGAUGGCAUCAUGAGUCCGCAUGUUCACAUGAUUAAAGGUGUUCCGGUAGACGAUGGGGAUGCGUUCCAUUAGAUAGUAGGCGGGGUAACGGCCCACCUAGUCUUCGAUGGAUAGGGGUUCUGAGAGGAAGGUCCCCCACAUUGGAACUGAGACACGGUCCAAACUCCUACGGGAGGCAGCAGUGAGGAAUAUUGGUCAAUGGGCGAGAGCCUGAACCAGCCAAGUAGCGUGAAGGAUGACUGCCCUAUGGGUUGUAAACUUCUUUUAUAAAGGAAUAAAGUCGGGUAUGCAUACCCGUUUGCAUGUACUUUAUGAAUAAGGAUCGGCUAACUCCGUGCCAGCAGCCGCGGUAAUACGGAGGAUCCGAGCGUUAUCCGGAUUUAUUGGGUUUAAAGGGAGCGUAGAUGGAUGUUUAAGUCAGUUGUGAAAGUUUGCGGCUCAACCGUAAAAUUGCAGUUGAUACUGGAUAUCUUGAGUGCAGUUGAGGCAGGCGGAAUUCGUGGUGUAGCGGUGAAAUGCUUAGAUAUCACGAAGAACUCCGAUUGCGAAGGCAGCCUGCUAAGCUGCAACUGACAUUGAGGCUCGAAAGUGUGGGUAUCAAACAGGAUUAGAUACCCUGGUAGUCCACACGGUAAACGAUGAAUACUCGCUGUUUGCGAUAUACGGCAAGCGGCCAAGCGAAAGCGUUAAGUAUUCCACCUGGGGAGUACGCCGGCAACGGUGAAACUCAAAGGAAUUGACGGGGGCCCGCACAAGCGGAGGAACAUGUGGUUUAAUUCGAUGAUACGCGAGGAACCUUACCCGGGCUUAAAUUGCAGAUGAAUUACGGUGAAAGCCGUAAGCCGCAAGGCAUCUGUGAAGGUGCUGCAUGGUUGUCGUCAGCUCGUGCCGUGAGGUGUCGGCUUAAGUGCCAUAACGAGCGCAACCCUUGUUGUCAGUUACUAACAGGUCAUGCUGAGGACUCUGACAAGACUGCCAUCGUAAGAUGUGAGGAAGGUGG